This 6514-nucleotide long non-coding RNA is filed under the name Homo sapiens (human). Its description in RNAcentral is "HSALNT0212451". The record is from RNAcentral. Lineage: Eukaryota; Metazoa; Chordata; Mammalia; Primates; Hominidae.
CAUUAACCACCCGUGCAGGGGCAGACACCUUUAGCCGCUCCAGGAGCAGGUAGGUGAGGAGGAAGUGGCCUGUGAGGAGAGCCAGCAGGGAAGAUUGAAAGUGGAAUGACAGCCCAGGCUCAGCAUGUGGGAGCCAAGAGGACUUCAGUGUUAGCUCACUAUCUUCUGGGUGUGAACCAAUUUUGAUGCCAUGAGUAACUCUAAUGGUCAGUUUGGUCUGAGUUUGUGGAUUCCUCAAAGCAAGAGCCAGAGCUAGACUACAAGUAAGGCAAUCAUACUUAAUUAUAUUACUUUGUACCUCUGCCCUUGACCCACCUGCUGGCUUCCAACUCCCACUCUGGCCAUGAUCGCAUAACUAGGGACCCAGGUACACUUGUGUAUAGGCAGAAGGAUAGAACAGUCAGGGAAGAUAACAUUUGCUUAGGAUCAGAAAACAUGCUCCAUGCUCUCCUCCCUAAAGUCUUUGCCUUGAACGCUGAACCCCACCCUGCCUCGUACUCAAGUUCUCAAGGAUUGCCUACCUCCGUGGACCAACCCAUGGCUUGGUUGGCCAUCAUGUAGAUGUGACCCCUCCAGCCAAGCCCAGAUGCCUGCAUAACCCCAGGUCUGGCCCUGCCUGGCAAGCCUUGUACUGCCACUGCCCCAUCCAAGAAUGACAUUCUUCUCCCUGGUAUUUCCUGAAAUUUGGGGCUUCUUAAUGGUAUGGGUAGGAAGAUCUCACUUUUUUAGACUGAUCAGGAGAGGUACAGUGAACAACAAGCCAAUGGGUCUAGUCUAUUGGAAUUCCUAGGCUCUAUGAAGGCCCCUGGACAUUCUCCACAUUUACACAGUGUCAUCUUCCUAAAGAAAAGAUAGUGGGUGUACCUCAUUUUUUAGUCACCCAAAGAUACUUACCCAGGUGGUUGACUCCCAGGUGGGUUUCAAAGCCAUCAGCUGUCUUGGAAUAUGGACACAUCAUUACUCCCGCAUUGUUGAUCAGAAUAUGGAGCUGCUUUUCCUCUAUAGGGCACAACCAAAGAGAUCCUAUGGUUAGCAAGGAGUCCCCUAGCUGCCUGUAACAGACCUGCAUAAUUGCCCUUUCCCUUUGUUCAUUAGUUGUCUUUGUUGGGGUAACAUUUUGAUAGGAGUCACUUGCUCUGCCCCUUCCUUUUAAAACAAGGUAUUGCCUCAGCACUCAAUAACUAUCCUUCAUUUGGACCUAUCUCAGUGACAUCCAAUAAGCAUUGUCACUGGGUUUCUAAUGAGUAAUUUUAGUUACUCAUAUCUUCCUGGACAUUGUUCAUUCAUUUAUUCAGCAAAUGUGUACUAACUACCGACUCUGAGCCAGGUGCACUCUGCUGGGCACUAGGAAUCCAGUGGUAACACAAGCCAGACAUGGUCCCAGGAUGUCCCUCAUGGAUUUCAUAGUCCGUGGUAGAAGCUGGUCAUUUUCCAAGAUCCAGAAGAACUUGCCAGCAGCACAACUUCAUCUCAUGCCUAUGGCCACACAAGGUUGAUUCUCAGGAUGAAAGAAGAGAGUGGCAUUGUGGCCACACCUUGAUGCCAAGGUGCAAGCCCAGACAGGGAGCUAACACCUCCGACAUUCCCAUUGCUGAGGCGAAAAGAUGAUAAGGAUCCUGCCCAGUCUAUCUACCCACCAUCCUCUUGCCAAUUCCCUGUCCUGCUGGUUCAUGUGGCAGAACCUGUCUAGUGGGGUGGAUGAUGGUUCUGAUGUAAGGGCCAUAGAUGGUCUAGGGUGGAGCAGCCACUCCCAUACCCAAUUUCCUGCUUUUCUACCUACCCAUCAGGACCUCACCUGCCAGAAAGCCCUCAGCAAAGGCUCGGAUAGAUUUGGUGUCGGAUAGGUCCAAUUUCCGCACCAGCACCUGGGAGUUCUUUGUAUCCACUCGGAUUUCACUGGCAGCAGACUCCCCCUUCAGUACAUCUCUGCAGGCAAUAUAGACUCGGGCUCCUGGGUCCAAGACAAAAAAAGAGCAGUAUGUUCAUAUCCUAGGCUAUAAAGGAGGUAUAGUAAGUGAGCUUGGGACUGGGGGACAGAGCAUUCAUUCUCCCAGCCAUCCUUCAACGGUAGAGUGAACAUAUUGCCACUUCGGGCUUUUCACAGUAGUACUGUUCAGUCUUCUUGCUGUCAGUUUAAUCCCAGGCUGGGAACCUGGUUCCCAGGUUUUACAUUCUGAUAUUUAAUGUCACUUAGUAUCUCCUUUUAGAAUAACUGACUUGGCUAUACACAGACAUCGUUUUCCUUAUUUUAUUUAAUAGAGAGGGAAUAGGAAAGAAGCAGUUUAUUGGAGGCCACAGUGUAAGUUGGUGUCACAGUUGGACUUGAAUCCCAGGUUCCUUGAAUUUCUAGUCAGAGCCCCCAAGCCUAGGAGGAAACACAAAGCAAUAUGGACAGAGGCCCCAGUGGGAAGAAGGGUGGGAGGCAUGGCCCUUUGGAGACUAAAGGGGAAACACUUACCUCGGCUAGCGAGCUCUCUGGCCGUCUCCUUGCCAAUGCCCGUGUUGGCGCCAGUGAUCACCACUACCUUGCCAGGAAGCUGCACAUUUGUUCUACACACUCCACCAGCAAAGAACUUCCUAUCGGCAAGGGAAACAAGAGCAUCACGUACCAUCCUUCACGAGCUCACACUAAGAUACGUUAAAAAAAAAAAAAAAAACUCUAUCCAGCCUCAAAGAAGGGUAUCUUUAAGUUGCAGUCAGGAGACUCAUAAAAGCUAACCUUCAUAGGACAACAUUUUUCCAUGGGGCAAGGUAGUCGCCUGUUUAUCGGUGCAGGUGGGAAGAUCACUUGCCCAGAAGCCACAAAUAAUCAUAUUAGCAAACAGAGUAAAUGCUGGAGUCAGGGCCAAUGGAGACUUUCCUUGUUAGAUAAUAAAUACAUCUAGCUCUUAUCUCUAGAGGUUCCAGAGGAAAGCUUUCCCCUCUAACCUACAUUCAAAACAUAUGCAUGAUAAACAUUAGCGGAGUCAAUAUUCAGUAACCAUCAUCAUGAGUAACUGAUGAACAGCACUCUGUGGGGGGUGGCACACACAGGUACUGCUCUUAGCACUCUGGGGGAUGGCAUACACAGGUACUGAUCUUAGGCUGCCUCUCCAGUUUUAGGGAGUGGGUCAUUUCCGAGGCUUUCAGCCAUUGUAUUAGAGAUUUCAUUCUGGCCGAUGGCAAACAGAGAGAAAACCUCCUUUGUUCAGACCUCUGUGCAGAGAGCACUCUUUUACAUGAAGUUGACUUCACAGGUCCUAAAACAGAAUACGGAGGGGCAGAACUAACAUUUCCUGCACAUCAUCUGACUGCCAAUUACUAGUCUAGGCACUUUCCAUAUGUAAUUUAUUUUAAUCCUCUCAACUUCUCCAGUAUUAUUUCCACAUUACAGUAGAGAAAACUGAGGCUCAGGGAGGUUCAUGUCACAUAGUGGUGGCAGAAGUGGGACUUGAACCCAGAUCUCUAUGGAGAACCUAGAAUAACACUGUCCUUGGUAGGUCCAUUUAACCUCCUUUAUCAUAAGAAAUUUUUUAGGCUGAGCCCAGUGGCUCAUGCCUGUAAUCCCAACAUCUUGGGAGGCCAACGUGGGAUGGUCGCUUAAGCCCAGGAGUUUGAGACCAGCCUGGGCAACAUAGUGAGACCCCCAUCUCCACAAAAAAUUUAAAAAGUAGCUGGGUGUAGUGGCACCUGCCUAUAUUCCCAACUACUUGGGAGGCUGAGGCAGGAGGGUUGCUUGAGCCCAAGAGUUCAAGGCUGCAGUGACCUAUGACUACACCAAUGCACUCCACCCUGGGGUGACAGAGCAAAAAUUAAAAAAGAGAAAUUUAAAAAUUCUCCACUCAGAACACACUUUUAUUUGACACCUCUAGAAAUCCCACAGCAAAAAAGCCAUCCCAAAACAUUAAUUGAGGGUAGUCUCAAAGGCAGAAGAGUUUGUUUCUUUCCCAAACUACCUGGUACUUAACAGCAUGACAAGCCAGCAGGGCCACCCUGAAUAGGGACAGAGUCUCCGAGUUCUUCAGAGACACCCAAAGGAAUAAAAUGAAAACGCAAGGACUCCCACCUAAGGUGUUUGUUGAGCUACUUGACAGAGUCAUCCAUGCAGCCUUCCGCUGGCAGUAGAACUCUCCCCAGAGCUCAGGUGGGGCCAGAACUCAGCCCCACCUCUGCCCGGCCGCAGAUGCUUCCUUCUGGUUUUCCACCAUGGUAUCCACAACACCCCCUUCCUUCCUGCUUUUCCUGCCCUGACUUUCUCCUCUGUCAGCCUCCUUCCCUUUCUCUUCUUUCAGCAGCUGAGAACCGGCUUCCAGUGCAGGUCUUUGUAAACGAUUGUUUGAGUUGCUGAAUUAAGACAAACCUGAUGGAUGGAGCUACCAUAUACAGGAACGAGAAGAAGGAGGAAUUGUGCAACAUACUAGGAAGACACAGUUUCUGCCCCUGGGGAAACCCAUGGACCUGACCAACAGAACAAGGAGUGAUCAGAUCAUUCCCAGCAGACACUUCUUGACUCAAAUCUAAGAUCCUUGCAUUUAAGAAGAUGGUACUCACCUUAGCUUGAGCUUGUCCAGGAAGCAGAGAGUCCUUAAGAACAGCAUACAGUCCUCUGGAGAGAAGAUAUUAGAAGGACCAUAAGGCAUCUAGAAUUAUGAAAAUACACAAACACUUUGCUAAAAUAAAAUGUUAAAUAUUAUAAUCCAAAGGCCACCAUCAUAUCAUUGAUAAGUUGUACCAAAAUGCUAAACCAUACUACUAAGUACAGGUAGGUGAAUAGGCAGACAAAUCAAUAGAACAGAAUGGAAAGGCAAGAAAUAGACCCAAAUACACAUGGGCAUUUAGAUAUGAUGAAAAUGCCAUUUCAAAUCAGUGGAAGGGACAGAUGAUUUAAUUAACAAAGUAUUGUGGCACCUAGGUAUCCAGCUGGGAAAAAGCAAACUUGAUCCUUCCAAAAUUCGAAUACCUCAAAGACGUAAGUAUGAGAAAUGAAACCACUGAAGUAUUAAGAAGAACCACUGGACACAUUUUUAGAGUGGUAAGACCUUUCUAGUAAGACAGGAAACUGAAAACUAAAACUUAAAAAAUGAGCAUGACAAAAACCAUCAUACACAAGGCAAGAUAAAUGAGAAACUGGGGGGAAAUAUUCAUAACAGGCUUUGAAGACAAGAGACUAAUUGAUUUAGUAGAUAAAGAACUCUUACAAAUCAGUAAGAAAAGGAAUAACAACCCAAUUGAAAUAGCAGUUUACAAAAAAGGAAAUACAAGUGGCUCUUCACCCUCACUCAUAUGAGAGAUGCAAAUUAAAAUUAUACUGGGAGCCACUUUUCACUUAUCAGAUUGCCAAAGGUCAAAAAGAUUGUAGUAUGAUCCACUGGCAAGCAUGUGAAGAAAUAAUGCUGAUGCAUUGCUCGUGGGAGAGUCCAUUGUUAAAGCCUCCAUAGAGAGAAGUGUUGUAAUGUCUAGUAAAGCUGUGCAUGCACUCAUUCACCUAAACAUUCGACUUCCAUGUAUUUAUAAGGUUACCAUUAUAGCAUUGUAUAUUAUAGCAGAAGUUUGGAAACCUCCUAAAUGUCCAUCAAUAGUAAAGCCACAUAAUAGAUAGUAUACAGCUGUAAAAAAAGAAUAAAUAAUUAAGAAACAGAAUAAAUAAAAAACUUAAGUAAAUAAACAUUAAAUUUUGGUUGGGCACUGUGGCUUACAUCUGUAAUUCCUGCACUUUGGGAAACCGAGGCAGGAGGAUCACGUGAGACCAGAAGUUCAAGACCAACCUGGGCAACAUAGUGAGACCCCGUCUCUACAAAAAGGAAAACUAAAAAUUAGCUGGCCUGGUGGCACACACCUGUGGUCCCAGCUACUUGGGAGGCUGAGGCAGGAGGAUCACUUGAGCCCAGGAGGUUGAGGCUGCAUUGAGCCAUGAUCAUGCCACUACACUCCAGCCUGGGCAACAGAGCAAGACCCUGUCUCUAAAAAAAAGAAAAGAAAAAAUAAAUAAACUUUUCAGCAAAAAGACCCUGAUAACCUGCAGGACACAUUUCACAGGCUUCCAAAUGAACUGCUUGGAAAAGGUCUUAAGACUGAUGGCUUACAUCCUGUCUCUGAGUAAAGAAUCUUAUCGUGAGGCACUCAAAUUCUAUUGCGAGUUCCUCAAACUAUGUAUUUAUUAAUUGUCAGGUUACUGAUUAAUACUGACAUUGAAAGGGACAUUGUUUUCUUUCUAAAUCAUAAAGCUCUGCUGAUUUGUUUUUACUGAUUGUCUUGUGCAUAAAACAUUUUAGCCUGUACGCUGUCAUCCAUAGGCAAUGAUUGUAACCUCUGUAUUGUACCCUCCAAUGGAAAAGGAUAACUCCGAUAUGAGGAGUCCCCCUUCCUUCUCCUAAACAGUCUUAUAAAAGCAUUCCAACUUGUAACAGAUGUUGGAACAUGCCCAACUUUGUUGGUGUAUCUUACUGGAUAAAUUCUCACAUUUGGCUUCCAAUAAACUUUUAUCAAUUUAUCUCUGCCCCAAUGGCCUUAAUUUCUGUUGAAAACCGUAUCAUUU